UUCUUAAAAUUUCCAAUCCUUUCUCCCCAUUAUCGUUGAAGCCUCUUUCUUCCCCGACAACUCCUACCCGACCCUUCUCCAGCGAUUUUUUGCCUCACCGACGCCGAGCUCGCGAUCGCCGGCCAUUAGACAUUGACAUAGACGAAGGGCUUCCUCUUCCCCAAUCCCGAGUCUUCUUCCUUCCUCCCUUUCUCUCGCGCGAGCAGACGACCCAAUGGCGACGGAGAGACUUCUUCCACCCCGAUCUCGUCGUCACGUGUACGAGGGAAGGCGUCGCCGGAUCUCGACAGUACCGAUCAUCUCCAGCUGAGUAGGUGUCUCAGUGGCUGUUUCUUGCUGGCGAUCGAUAACAAUCCAGCGGAGCUAGGGCAUGGCAGGGUCCCGACCGAUUGAGCCUCUUUCGCUUCUCCUCUUCGAUCUGUGCACUGGAGGGCAAAUCGGGUCAUCACUAGUGGGAGUGGAUCACGUGACACCAUUGGAGGUGAUCGAUCGAGUGCUCUUCCUGAUCUGGAAUGGAGGAUGCAUCGGAUCAAAAUAGGAGUGGAUUUCUCUUGAGCCGAACACAACCUUCUACACUUCUUGCGGCUGUUAGAGUCUCGGAUGAAGAGGUGGAGGUUGGUUGAGCUUCUCGGCAAUGAGUUGUAGGGUUGUUGAGCUACUGGAAUUACUGCCAUACUUCAAGGACUUUGAUUCGAGGCGAGCGUCUUGACGUGGAUUGGUUUAUCUGAUACGGUCGAUAGAUAAAGGCGGGU
Long non-coding RNA from Zingiber officinale, 752 nucleotides. RefSeq lists it as uncharacterized. The transcript has 4 exons. The record is from RefSeq and is a predicted model, not a curated record. NCBI's taxonomy places the organism in Eukaryota, Viridiplantae, Streptophyta, Magnoliopsida, Zingiberales, Zingiberaceae.